GUCUAUGGCCAUACCACCCUCAACGCGCCCGAUCUCGUCUGAUCUCAAAAGCUAAGCUGGGUCUGGUUAGUACUUGGAUGGAAGAAUUACCAGUGACC
Molecule: ribosomal RNA, 98 nt
Filed under: Mustela putorius furo (domestic ferret)
Lineage: Eukaryota; Metazoa; Chordata; Mammalia; Carnivora; Mustelidae
Source: RNAcentral